Molecule: ribosomal RNA, 805 nt
Filed under: uncultured Oceanospirillales bacterium
Lineage: Bacteria; Pseudomonadati; Pseudomonadota; Gammaproteobacteria; Oceanospirillales
Description: SSU rRNA
Rfam family: Bacterial small subunit ribosomal RNA
Source: RNAcentral
GCCCCGGGCUUAACCUGGGAACUGCAUUUGAAACUGGUCAACUAGAGUAUGGUAGAGGAAAGUGGAAUUUCUGGUGUAGCGGUGAAAUGCGUAGAUAUCAGAAGGAACAUCAAUGGCGAAGGCAGCUUUCUGGACCAAUACUGACGCUGAGGUACGAAAGCGUGGGUAGCAAACAGGAUUAGAUACCCUGGUAGUCCACGCCGUAAACGAUGAUAACUAGCCGUUGGGGGGAUUUACCCUUUAGUGGCGAAGCUAACGCGUUAAGUUAUCCGCCUGGGGAGUACGGCCGCAAGGUUAAAACUCAAAGGAAUUGACGGGGACCCGCACAAGCGGUGGAGCAUGUGGUUUAAUUCGAUGCAACGCGAAGAACCUUACCUGGUCUUGACAUCCUGCGAACUUUCUAGAAAUAGAUUGGUGCCUUCGGGAACGCAGUGACAGGUGCUGCAUGGCUGUCGUCAGCUCGUGUCGUGAGAUGUUGGGUUAAGUCCCGUAACGAGCGCAACCCCUAUCCUUAUUUGCCAGCACAUCAUGGUGGGAACUAUAAGGAGACUGCCGGUGAUAAACCGGAGGAAGGCGGGGACGACGUCAAGUCAUCAUGGCCCUUACGACCAGGGCUACACACGUGCUACAAUGGGAAGGACAAAGAGCCGCGAAGCCGCGAGGUGUAGCUAAUCUCAUAAACCUUUUCGUAGUCCGGAUUGGAGUCUGCAACUCGACUCCAUGAAGUCGGAAUCGCUAGUAAUCGUAGAUCAGAAUGCUACGGUGAAUACGUUCCCGGGUCUUGUACACACCGCCCGUCAUACCA